Molecule: small nucleolar RNA, 117 nt
Organism: Hirundo rustica (Barn swallow)
Lineage: Eukaryota; Metazoa; Chordata; Aves; Passeriformes; Hirundinidae
Product: small nucleolar RNA SNORD89
Exons: 1
Source: RefSeq, a predicted model, not a curated record
GCUGAGGAGUGAUGACAAUAAAAGGCCGAAUUGCAGUGCCUCCAGCAAGCAGUUUGCUCUCCUUGGAAGCACAAUGACAAAAAUCAUCCGAAGCGUUAUCACUAGUCUGACCUCAGU